AAACGGUGCAUGACUUGAAAAACUAACACUAAUAUUGCAUGACUUGAAAACUAACACCAAUAUUGCAUGACAUGAAUUUAAAAACGUUAUAUUUUUAUUUUUGGUUUGAUUUGUUUACAAAAAAACAAAGAAUGAAUUUAAAACAAUUUUUUUUUUGAAUUUUUUUUAACCAUUUGAAACUUUUUUUUUAAUAUAAAUAAGUCAAUAAAAUAGCCUAAUAUGUGAUAAUAUACUACAUUGAUAACCUAAUAUGUGAUAAUCUGAUAUAUAAAAUAGCCAAAUGUUAAAUAAUUAUUAAUUUCAAAAUAAUAU
This 312-nucleotide long non-coding RNA is filed under the name Capsella rubella. RNAcentral's name for it is "long non-coding RNA (CRUB_LNC002661)". The record is from RNAcentral. Lineage: Eukaryota; Viridiplantae; Streptophyta; Magnoliopsida; Brassicales; Brassicaceae.